Molecule: long non-coding RNA, 2495 nt
Organism: Numida meleagris (helmeted guineafowl)
Lineage: Eukaryota; Metazoa; Chordata; Aves; Galliformes; Numididae
Source: Ensembl
GGAGGCUGACCCAACUGCAAGGUGCUGUCUGUGCUGGGCAGGAAAGUGUCCUGCUAGCCCUUCUCUGAGCCCUCAGCACAAAAUGUCCCCAGCAAGGAACACGGAACAAGUCUGUUCCUUGUUGUAGAUCUGAAAAAGGCCUUACACAUCCCAAAGGCAUCAGUCAUGCUCCUCCGCGCCCCACCAGUGGCUGAUAAAGGCGAUUAUUCUGCUGAGGUCCUUGGCUCCCUCUGACUAUGGGCUGUUCCUCUCUCCAGGCCCUCUGGCUGCAGUCUCUCAAAAUGGGAAAUGCCAUCCGAGCCUGGCGAGGACAUGCUGUUACUGACGGAAGUUCAUCACACACUGCGGCAUUUCUGCAGGAAUUUUCACUCUGAGAAACUGUUUUCAGGAACAGAGAGGCUUCAGAUGAUUGGUAUAAGAAUCCAGGCAUUAACGAUUAUCUGAUUAUGAUUUUGGAAAAAUAAGAUAUCUCCUGUCUACAUAUGUGGAGUGAUGUUUCUAAUGAAAAGCAACAAUGGAGUCAUUUUGAUCUCUGAUGGGUGAAACUCAUUGGAAUGGAAACCAACAUCUAUGCAACAAACCAAGGCUCACCAUGUCUUACAUCUGCCAAGUGCCUGGGGACUCCAAAGGGAGCAAAGUAUGAAGAAUACCAAAGAAACACAGAAGAACAGAAAAGUCCAUCUGAAUUUCAGGAUGUUUUACUGGAACCUGAGUUGAGUUUGCUGUCUGUGUCAUCCAUAUUAGACCACAGUGAGACAUCCUUGCAACCUGAUGGGACUGAAGGGUGUGUUAGUGCCACCAAUCAAUCUGAAGCACAGCGGCUCUCUGAAGAAUUAUUGUGUUCAGCAAGGCACAAGCCAAAGGAAGACAAUCUGAACUUCACCUCACACACAGAAUGGCCAUUCCUUGCAGGAAAAAAUCCAGCCAACAAACCAGAAAGGAGUCAUGAGAUCAGAGUCAUAAGACACAAGCCAAGUGCUAUCACAUUUUCUGAUUUUGAAUUUUUAUCACAUGAAGCGAAUACUAAACUCCAUAUUUAUGAGGCAGGAGAAGAAGACUUUUCAUCUGAAGAGGAAGAAGCAGAUGGCAGAGGUGAUGAUGAUCUGCUUACAGAACUGCCUCUGUAUGAGGCAUUUUUCAAUGGCUUUCAUAGAACGGAUGUUUUCCCAAGAAAUCAAGCUAAAUGUGAACCUACUGAGUAUCCACACAUGUGUCAUUUAGAAGACUGUAGUGACCAUUCCAGAACGGAAUCGAAGGACCAUGACAAGGAAGGAAAAUACAUGGAGCUGGAGACUCAAUCAGAAAAAAGAUUGGAAUGGUCAGACUCCAUGUCAUGCCUUAUGAAGAAACUGGAACAGCUGAAUUUAGAUAUUGAAGAAGCUCUGAGUGCUAGCUCAUCUCCCUCCAGUACUCCUUCUACCACAAGGCACAAACAACUGUGCCCUGCUCGAGUGGAGACAAGCCCUUAUGGAGAUCUUCAAGGAAAAGGAUCGUGGAAGCACAGAACUGCAGACCACCGGGAUCUAGAUUGUUUAUCUUACCCAGUAUCAACUGGAGCACGACCUAAACCUUAUGUAAGUAGCUGCUGAAUAUUUACAUUCUCUGACUCUGUGAUUCACUACCUUAAAAACUGCUCCAAAAGUAAUGCCUUCUAUUUAUUUUUGUGGAAACUGCAGCAGAUACAAUGAGCAUAAUCACACUAUUUGAUACAGCAAAUUCUCAGCUACAAAAAACUAUUUUUCAACAUAGUCACCAUGAGCUAUGCGUUUUCAUCAGCAAUGAAUAAGAGCCUGCAUGCUGCGCUUGUAAAAAUCUACACAAGCAGAGGUGACCCACUGUUGUCACCACUGCUGAAAUGCACUACUCACCACCUCACUGUGCACAUUUCCACUGUUUGAUCUCCAUAAAUGUUCAGAAAGCAUCGAUGAACGUCAGUGGAUGGCAUUUUUUUCUGUGUGGAGGAAUUCAGUGACAUCCCUUUGCUUCAUCUGCUCUUCCAUGUCAGAUGCCAUUCAGUCAGACUGCCCCUCUGUUGCCAUCUGUCACACGGUAACAAAAUGUAAUGGAAUAUUGGUGGGAAGGUUCAUUCCCUACUGCCAUACCACCAACAUCUGCCUCUUAUAUCUUGGCCAACAUAAUUAAGCGGGAGGCAUUACUUUCAGAACAGUCUUGCCUGGGGGAGUUCAGUGUGCAUAAUGGAUACAGAUGAAAGUUAAUUCAGUGUUCAAUUUCCAGGGCCAUGGGGUUCAGCUCAUCUGAUGUUGGACAACUAUAAAGUAGUGUUCUACAUCUGAACCAGUUACUUGGACUGGCAUUGUAGUCAAGGGAAAGAAACAGGCACUUCUGAAAAGUAAAUGGUUUCAUCUGGAGGUUAAAUGUGAUGGAUUCUAGGCAUCAAUGCCACUAUUGCAUCUUCUUUGCUGCUUUUAGCAUUAUUUUCUUGUGUUUUUUUUAUCUGGGUGUCCCACCAUCCAGGGUUCUGAGUUUUUGGUGAG